This is a non-coding RNA of Nitrospira bacterium SG8_35_1, 139 nucleotides long. Lineage: Bacteria; Pseudomonadati; Nitrospirota; Nitrospiria. The record is from Rfam.
UAGUCGGUUAAAGUCCGACCGUGGGAGUUCGGCAGUUCACCCACGUAGUAGAGGGAGGUGUAAAGGGCAACCUGAAACACUAAGUUCCCUGUCAAAGUCCCAUUCAGUGGGGCGAGCAAACCUGCGGGUCGUAGCGAGA